This 253-nucleotide ribosomal RNA is filed under the name uncultured bacterium. RNAcentral describes it as "partial 16S ribosomal RNA". It matches the Rfam family "Bacterial small subunit ribosomal RNA", at positions 524 to 776 of the family's 1533-position model. The record is from RNAcentral.
UACGGAGGGUGUAAGCGUUAUCCGGAAUCACUGGGUUUAAAGGGUGCGUAGGCGGCUAAAUAAGUCAGAGGUGAAAGCUUGCAGCUUAACUGCGAAAUUGCCUUUGAUACUGUAUAGCUUGAAAGGAGCUGAGGUCAGCAGAAUGUGGCAUGUAGCGGUGAAAUGCAUAGAUAUGCCAUAGAAUACCAAUUGCGAAGGCAGCUGGCUGGGCUGACUUUGACGCUGAGUCACGAAAGCGUGGGGAUCGAACAGG